GUAGAAUGAGGACCCAGAUUGUUUGGAGCAAUAUGCUGACAAUCUAAAUUGCUCAGAGAGUGCUUUAAAGUACUAUGGAACAGUAUAUAAGUCUAAUUGCUAUUGCUA
Non-coding RNA from Pseudonaja textilis, 108 nucleotides. NCBI's taxonomy places the organism in Eukaryota, Metazoa, Chordata, Lepidosauria, Squamata, Elapidae. The record is from RefSeq and is a predicted model, not a curated record.